This 56-nucleotide ribosomal RNA is filed under the name Pseudopyrenochaeta lycopersici. RNAcentral's name for it is "partial 26S ribosomal RNA". The record is from RNAcentral. Lineage: Eukaryota; Fungi; Ascomycota; Dothideomycetes; Pleosporales; Pseudopyrenochaetaceae. RNAcentral also lists the same sequence under 1 other name.
UGACCUCGGAUCAGGUAGGGAUACCCGCUGAACUUAGCAUAUCAAUAAGCGGAGGA